Molecule: long non-coding RNA, 429 nt
Filed under: Pan troglodytes (chimpanzee)
Lineage: Eukaryota; Metazoa; Chordata; Mammalia; Primates; Hominidae
Description: long non-coding RNA NONPTRT009461
Source: RNAcentral
AGUUCAUUGUAAACUUGCCAAGGGAGCCGCCCACAGACACGAGAGAGCUGCUUUGGGACAGUGAAUUACUCUUCUUUUGAGACGGUCUAAUGAUGCCUGGGUGGUGCCUUCGUAGGACGGUCGUCACACCUGAACAAGGGGGUCCCCGGCCCCGGGCCCCAUGCUUUACUGGGCCCUGUUCUGUCCCUCUUCUGGCAUCAUCUCCCAUGGAGAAAAGAAUGUGUUGAAGCCAAGAAGAUGCUCCCCCCAAGAAUAUCAUCUCUGCUAGAACAGGGGCUGGAGUGUAACGGCGUGAUCUCGGCUCACUGCACCCUCGACUUCCUGGAUUCAGGUGAUCCCCUCACCUCAGCCUCCCCAGUAGCUGGUGUGUCCGGAAUUGGUGGGUUCUUGGUCUCACUGACUUCAAGAAUGAAGCCGCGGACCCUCGCG